This 327-nucleotide ribosomal RNA is filed under the name uncultured eukaryote. Its description in RNAcentral is "partial 18S ribosomal RNA". It matches the Rfam family "Eukaryotic small subunit ribosomal RNA", at positions 1470 to 1796 of the family's 1831-position model. The record is from RNAcentral.
CCCUUAGAUGUUCUGGGCCGCACGCGCGCUACACUGACGAAUGCAACGAGCUUAUAACCUUGGCCGAAAGGUCUGGGUAAUCUCCAAAUUUCGUCGUGAUGGGGAUACAUUAUUGCAAUUAUUAAUCUUCAACGAGGAAUGCCUAGUAAGCGCAAGUCAUCAGCUUGCGUUGAUUACGUCCCUGCCCUUUGUACACACCGCCCGUCGCUCCUACCGAUUGAAUGGUCCGGUGAAGCGUUCGGACCGUGGCCUUUGGACGGUUCGCCGUCUGUUGGCUGCGGGAAGUUCGUUAAACCUUAUCAUUUAGAGGAAGGAGAAGUCGUAACA